Molecule: transfer RNA, 68 nt
Filed under: Coleonyx mitratus
Lineage: Eukaryota; Metazoa; Chordata; Lepidosauria; Squamata; Eublepharidae
Description: tRNA-Arg
Source: RNAcentral
CAGUAGUUAGUCUAAUAAAGACCCUUAAUUUCGACUUAAGAAACCCUGAAUUCACCCAGGACUACUAA